Molecule: ribosomal RNA, 497 nt
Filed under: uncultured bacterium
Lineage: Bacteria
Description: partial 16S ribosomal RNA
Rfam family: Bacterial small subunit ribosomal RNA
Source: RNAcentral
GAUGAACGCUGGCGGCGUGCCUAAUACAUGCAAGUCGAGCGAACAGACGAGGAGCUUGCUCCUCUGACGUUAGCGGCGGACGGGUGAGUAACACGUGGAUAACCUACCUAUAAGACUGGGAUAACUUCGGGAAACCGGAGCUAAUACCGGAUAAUAUAUUGAACCGCAUGGUUCAAUAGUGAAAGACGGUUUUGCUGUCACUUAUAGAUGGAUCCGCGCCGCAUUAGCUAGUUGGUAAGGUAACGGCUUACCAAGGCAACGAUGCGUAGCCGACCUGAGAGGGUGAUCGGCCACACUGGAACUGAGACACAGUCCAGACUCCUACGAGAGGCAGCAGUAGGGAAUCUUCCGCAAUGGGCGAAAGCCUGACGGAGCAACGCCGCGUGAGUGAUGAAGGUCUUCGGAUCGUAAAACUCUGUUAUUAGGGAAGAACAAAUGUGUAAGUAACUAUGCACGUCUUGACGGUACCUAAUCAGAAAGCCACGGCUAACUACGUG